This 440-nucleotide ribosomal RNA is filed under the name uncultured bacterium. RNAcentral's name for it is "partial 16S ribosomal RNA". It matches the Rfam family "Bacterial small subunit ribosomal RNA", at positions 338 to 795 of the family's 1533-position model. The record is from RNAcentral.
CCUACGGGAGACAGCAGUGGGGAAUAUUGCACAAUGGGGGAAACCCUGAUGCAGCGACGCCGCGUGCGUGACGAAGUAUCUCGGUACGUCAAGCUCUUUCAGCAGGGAAGAAAAUGACGGUACCUGUCUCAUAAGCCCCGGCGAACUACGUGCCAGCAGCCGCGGUAAUACGUAGGGGGCAAGGGUUAUCCGGUUUUACUGGGUGUAAAGGGAGCGUUGACGGCAGCACAAGUCGGGAGUGAAAUCCCUGGGCUGAACCCGGGAACUGCUUUGGAAACUGGCAGGCUAGAGUGCAGGAGAGGUAAGCGGAAUUCCAAGUGUAGCGGUGAAAUGCGUAGAGAUUAGGAGGAAGACCGGUGGCGAAGGCGGCUUACUGGACAAAAACUGACGCUGAGGCGCGAAAGCGUGGGGAGCAAACAGGAUUAGAUACCCCAGUAGUC